RNAcentral lists this ribosomal RNA (245 nucleotides) under uncultured bacterium. Its description in RNAcentral is "partial 16S ribosomal RNA". It matches the Rfam family "Bacterial small subunit ribosomal RNA", at positions 524 to 768 of the family's 1533-position model. The record is from RNAcentral.
UACGUAGGAUCCGAGCGUUGUCCGGAUUUACUGGGUGUAAAGGGCGUGUAGGUGGGCCUUUAAGUCGAUGGUGAAAUCCUGCAGCUUAACUGCAGAAUUGCUCUCGAAACUGGAGGUCUUGAGUGCGGCAGAGGGAGAUGGAAUUCAUGGUGUAGCGGUGAAAUGUGUAGAUAUCAUGAAGAACACCGGUAGCGAAGGCGAUCUCCUGGUCCGCAACUGACACUGAGGCGCGAAAGCGUGGGGAG